Molecule: ribosomal RNA, 198 nt
Filed under: uncultured bacterium
Lineage: Bacteria
Description: partial 16S ribosomal RNA
Rfam family: Bacterial small subunit ribosomal RNA
Source: RNAcentral
ACGCUCGACACCUACGGGGGGCAGCAGUGGGGAAUAUUGCACAAUGGGGGAAACCCUGAUGCAGCGACGCCGCGUGAGCGAAGAAGUAUCUCGGUAUGUAAAGCUCUAUCAGCAGGGAAGAAGAUGACGGUACCUGACUAAGAAGCACCGGCUAAAUACGUGCCAACAGCCGCGGUAAUCUGAGCGGGCUGGCAAGGC